Long non-coding RNA from Alnus glutinosa, 714 nucleotides. RefSeq lists it as uncharacterized. The transcript is spliced from 2 exons. The record is from RefSeq and is a predicted model, not a curated record. Lineage: Eukaryota; Viridiplantae; Streptophyta; Magnoliopsida; Fagales; Betulaceae.
UUGUUGUUAUUUUUUUUUUCUUUCUUUCUUUCAUUAUACACGCACGAGCUCUUGUUUCUUUUUUCUUUUUUUUCCCUCUUUCUCUUCUUCCUCUUUUCUCUUCCCCUCUUCUCGUUCUUUUCUUUUCUUUUCCACUAAGAGACCGAGAGACCGAGAGAGAAAGAGAGAGAGAGCGAGAGAGAGAGAGAUCGGAUAGGGAGACAUGCGGUGGGCUAGCCACCGUUAGGGUGGACGAUGACGCUGGAGGCCGGUGGGUCUCGGCUCAACGCUGGUAAAGCCAAGGGACGUCUUUUUUCGGCAUUUUCUCGGUACCCAAAUGUAGAGAAGUUCAUUUUUGGAUGGCGUUAUUUAUAAUAAUCUUGAGGACAUGAGUACCGGUGGGUCUAUUGGUCAUUAAGGACCCAUACAUCUAGCCUUACGAACGGGACACGUGGACAACAGAGGCCAUAACAGUAAAUAUAGUAGUAGCAGUUAUAGACGGGACCGCUUGAAAAGAAAAGUCUAACUUGUGCAGCUUUUGUUAUGUAAUUGUACAUCUUUUGUUAUUUUGUAUACUUUAAUGUCCCAUGUAUAGGACUCUAACAACUGUAGUAUCUAAGACAUAAUCUCCCUAUAGUUGUUUUCUUUUGUUUAUACCUCCAUUAAUGGAAAGGUAACGAACUAUGGAUUCCAGUGUAUAUAUAUAUAUAUAGGAUGAUAUUUUAAGUUGCCUCU